RNAcentral lists this long non-coding RNA (389 nucleotides) under Sorghum bicolor (sorghum). RNAcentral describes it as "long non-coding RNA (SBIC_LNC017704)". The record is from RNAcentral. Lineage: Eukaryota; Viridiplantae; Streptophyta; Magnoliopsida; Poales; Poaceae.
AUCCGAUAAAUGAGGUAACUCCCCCCAUAAAUGCGCCGUCUAACGGUCCUUUCUCUCCUCACAGGCCGGACGCCCCGAAUUCCCCGCCGAUACAGUGUCGCAACGUCACUUACCUCAAAAGGUGCGCCCAACGGGCAGAAAGACGAACCGGCACGGCAGCUUCCUCACUUCGUAAGCCAAGGUAUGCGCUCACGAUAGUCUCGAGAGGUCGAUGGCUGGCCCGUCGAAAGGGUUCGACAGCCGAUCUCGAGCACCAAGAGUCAGGGAUCCCCAGCGAGUGGUCGAAAAUCGAGGCCCGCCUCGAGGAUUCGCUGGCGAUGUCCAAGGUAGGGUCGAGACAGUCGAGAGGAAUCCCCCCGAAGGGAGGCAUCGAGCCGCUGGACUCUAUC